GACGAACGCUGGCGGCGUGCUUAACACAUGCGAGUCGAACGGAAAGGCCCUGCUUUUGUGGGGUGCUCGAGUGGCGAACGGGUGAGUAACACGUGAGUAACCUGCCCUUGACUUUGGGAUAACUUCAGGGAACUGGGGCUAAUACCGGAUAGGAGCUCCUGCUGCAUGGUGGGGGUUGGAAAGUUUCGGCGGUUGGGGCUGGACUCGCGGCUUAUCAGCUUGUUGGUGGGGUAGUGGCUUACCAAGGCUUUGACGGGUAGCCGGCCUGAGAGGGUGACCGGCCACAAUGGUACUGCGAUACGGCCCAGACUCCUACGGGACGCAGCAGUGGGGAAUAUUGCACAAUGGGCGGAAGCCUGAUGCAGCAACGCCGCGUGCGGGAUGACGGCCUUCGGGUUGUAAACCGCUUUCGCCUGUGACGAAGCGUGAGUGACGGUAAUGGGUAAAGAAGCACCGGCUAACUACGUG
This 468-nucleotide ribosomal RNA is filed under the name uncultured bacterium. Its description in RNAcentral is "partial 16S ribosomal RNA". It matches the Rfam family "Bacterial small subunit ribosomal RNA", at positions 28 to 507 of the family's 1533-position model. The record is from RNAcentral.